Molecule: signal recognition particle RNA, 262 nt
Filed under: Lachnospiraceae bacterium
Lineage: Bacteria; Bacillati; Bacillota; Clostridia; Lachnospirales; Lachnospiraceae
Description: signal recognition particle sRNA large type
Rfam family: Bacterial large signal recognition particle RNA
About the family: The signal recognition particle (SRP) is a universally conserved ribonucleoprotein involved in the co-translational targeting of proteins to membranes. Archaeal SRP consists of a 7S RNA and homologues of the eukaryotic SRP19 and SRP54 proteins.
Source: RNAcentral
CCGUGCAGCCGGGGCGUUAGCGGUGCCCUGUACCUACAAUCCGCUCUAGUAGGGGUGAUGCUUGAUUGAGGGCUUUUGGCUUGUGUAGCUGCCCUUUAUAAGUGGCGUUGAAGUUUGGGUCUUGCGCAAUGGGAAUCCAUGAACCGUGUCAGGGUGGGAACACAGCAGCACUAAGUGGAACCUUCCAUGUGCCGUAAGGGUGCCUGGCGGAGUUAACUGUAAAGGUAACGUGCAUGAGUCUGGUUCGAUAAAAAGCGCACGG